GAUGAACGCUGGCGGCGUGCCUAACACAUGCAAGUCGAACGAAGCACCUUACCUGAUUCUUCGGAUGAAAGUUUGGUGACUGAGUGGCGGACGGGUGAGUAACGCGUGGGUAACCUGCCCUGUACAGGGGGAUAACAGCUGGAAACGGCUGCUAAUACCGCAUAAGCGCACGAGGAGACAUCUCCUUGUGUGAAAAACUCCGGUGGUACAGGAUGGGCCCGCGUCUGAUUAGCUGGUUGGCAGGGUAACGGCCUACCAAGGCAACGAUCAGUAGCCGGUCUGAGAGGAUGAACGGCCACAUUGGAACUGAGACACGGUCCAAACUCCUACGGGAGGCAGCAGUGGGGAAUAUUGCACAAUGGGGGAAACCCUGAUGCAGCAACGCAGCGUGAGUGAAGAAGUAUUUCGGUAUGUAAAGCUCUAUCAGCAGGGAAGAUAAUGACGGUACCUGACUAAGAAGCUCCGGCUAAAUACGUG
Molecule: ribosomal RNA, 477 nt
Filed under: uncultured bacterium
Lineage: Bacteria
Description: partial 16S ribosomal RNA
Rfam family: Bacterial small subunit ribosomal RNA
Source: RNAcentral